UAGCAAUACUGAGCGAAGCUAGUGGCGAACGGGUGCGUAACACAUGAGUCAUCUGCCCAGAAGUGGGGAAUAGCUCGGCGAAAGCCGGAUUAAUACCGCAUGUGGUCGUAAGACCAAAGCCGGGGCAACCUGGCGCUUUUGGAGGAGCUCGUGGCCUAUCAGCUAGUUGGUGAGGUAACGGCUUACCAAGGCAACGACGGGUAGCUGGUCUGAGAGGACGACCAGCCACACUGGAACUGAGAUACGGUCCAGACACCUACGGGUGGCAGCAGUCGAGAAUUUUUCUCAAUGGGGGAAACCCUGAAGGAGCGACGCCGCGUGGAGGAUGAAUGCUUUCGGGUUGUAAACUCCUGUCAUUUGGGAACAAGGCCUUACGUUAACUGCGUGGAGGAUUGAUAGUACCAGAAGAGGAAGAGACGGCUAACUCUGUGCCAGCAGCCGCGGUAAUACAGAGGUCUCAAGCGUUGUUCGGAUUCAUUGGGCGUAAAGGGCGCGUAGGCGGCGGGGUAAGUCUGGUGUGAAAUCUAGGAGCUCAACUCCUAAACUGCACUGGAUACUGCUCUGCUAGAGGACUGGAGAGGAGACUGGAAUUCACGGUGUAGCA
Molecule: ribosomal RNA, 604 nt
Filed under: uncultured Verrucomicrobiota bacterium
Lineage: Bacteria; Pseudomonadati; Verrucomicrobiota
Description: bacterial SSU rRNA
Rfam family: Bacterial small subunit ribosomal RNA
Source: RNAcentral